Molecule: ribosomal RNA, 920 nt
Filed under: uncultured Gammaproteobacteria bacterium
Lineage: Bacteria; Pseudomonadati; Pseudomonadota; Gammaproteobacteria
Description: bacterial SSU rRNA
Rfam family: Bacterial small subunit ribosomal RNA
Source: RNAcentral
AGAGUUUGAUCAUGGCUCAGAACGAACGCUGGCGGCGUGCCUAACACAUGCAAGUCGAACGGUAACAGAAGAAGCUUGCUUCUUGCUGACGAGUGGCGCACGGGUGAGUAACGCGUGGAUAUCUGCCUAUUAGUGGGGGACAACUUGUGGAAACGCAAGCUAAUACCGCAUAAGCCCUACGGGGGAAAGCAGGGGACCUUCGGGCCUUGUGCCGAUAGAUGAGUCCGCGUCUGAUUAGCUAGUUGGUAAGGUAAAGGCUUACCAAGGCGAUGAUCAGUAUCUGGUUUGAGAGGAUGAUCAGACACACUGGAACUGAGACACGGUCCAGACUCCUACGGGAGGCAGCAGUGGGGAAUAUUGCACAAUGGGGGAAACCCUGAUGCAGCGACGCCGCGUGUGGGAAGAAGGCCUUCGGGUUGUAAACCACUUUCAAUUGGGAAGAAGAGAUGAGGUUUAAUACGCUUCUGAUUUGACGGUACCUUUAGAAGAAGCACCGGCUAAUUUCGUGCCAGCAGCCGCGGUAAUACGAAAGGCGCAAGCGUUGUUCGGAUUUACUGGGCGUAAAGAGAGUGUAGGUUGUUUAUUAAGUCGGAUGUGAAAUCCCGGGGCUCAACCUCGGAACUGCAUUCGAUACUGAUAGGCUAGAGUUUGGGAGGGGUAAGCGGAAUUCCGUGUGUAGCAGUGAAAUGCGUAGAUAUACGGAGGAACACCUGAGGCGAAGGCGGCUUACUGGACCAAUACUGACACUGAGACUCGAAAGCGUGGGUAGCAAACAGGAUUAGAUACCCUGGUAGUCCACGCCCUAAACGAUGUCAACUAGCCGUUGCGGGUAUCGACCCCUGCAGUGGCGAAGCUAACGCGAUAAGUUGACCGCCUGGGGAGUACGGUCGCAAGAUUAAAAACUCAAAGGAAUUGACGGG